Molecule: unclassified non-coding RNA, 603 nt
Filed under: Hevea brasiliensis (rubber tree)
Lineage: Eukaryota; Viridiplantae; Streptophyta; Magnoliopsida; Malpighiales; Euphorbiaceae
Source: RNAcentral
CACAAGCCAUCAAGAAUGAUUGAAUAAGUAAUUCUAUUUGGCUGCUGACCAUAAGAACACAUGUUCUUGAAAACCUCUAGUGCAGUUCCAGAUUGCCCAGCCUCCCACAAACCCUUUAUAAGAGUAUUAUAAGUAAUAGUGUUGGGAAUUAAAGUAGUUUUACGCAUUUCAUCAAAAAGUUUUACUGCUUCAUCUAUCCUUUUGCUCUUGCAGUAUCCAUUAAUCAAGAUGUUGAAGCUAAUUACAUCAGCUAUGCCACUGCUUAACAUCUGAUUAAACAGUUUUCUAGCUUCAUCUAUUUGGCUACACAUACAAAAUCCAGCCAUCAAUGAAUUGUAAGUGACAAAAUUAGGCUUCACGCGCUUUUGGAUCAUUAUUUUCAUUAUUUCUUGAGCUUUUGAAACCAGUCCUUCCUUGCAAAGAUUGUCAAUCAAUAUAUUGAAGGUAAUAAUGUUUGGUGAUAUGUUUUGCCCCGCCAUUUCUUUCAACAAGGCCAAAGCUUGAUUCCAUUUGCCUAAAUUGCAAAGACCAUGAAUUAAGCAGGUGUAAGUGAUAACAUUAGGUGAAAUGCGUUUAUCCCUCAUUUGAGAGAAGAGGCUUACA